This 253-nucleotide ribosomal RNA is filed under the name uncultured bacterium. RNAcentral describes it as "partial 16S ribosomal RNA". It matches the Rfam family "Bacterial small subunit ribosomal RNA", at positions 524 to 776 of the family's 1533-position model. The record is from RNAcentral.
UACGUAGGGUGCAAGCGUUAAUCGGAAUUACUGGGCGUAAAGCGUGCGCAGGCGGUUUUGUAAGUUUGUCGUGAAAGCCCCGGGCUCAACCUGGGAAUUGCGAUGAAGACUGCAAGGCUUGAAUCUGGCAGAGGGGGGUAGAAUUCCACGUGUAGCAGUGAAAUGCGUAGAGAUGUGGAGGAACACCGAUGGCGAAGGCAGGUCUCUGGGCUGAUACUGACGCUCAUGCACGAAAGCGUGGGGAGCAAACAGG